Molecule: ribosomal RNA, 492 nt
Filed under: uncultured bacterium
Lineage: Bacteria
Description: partial 16S ribosomal RNA
Rfam family: Bacterial small subunit ribosomal RNA
Source: RNAcentral
AGUGAACGCUGGCGGUAGGCCUAACACAUGCAAGUCGAACGGCAGCACAGUAAGAGCUUGCUCUUACGGGUGGCGAGUGGCGGACGGGUGAGGAAUACAUCGGAAUCUACUUUUUCGUGGGGGAUAACGUAGGGAAACUUACGCUAAUACCGCAUACGACCUACGGGUGAAAGCAGGGGAUCUUCGGACCUUGCGCGAUUGAAUGAGCCGAUGUCGGAUUAGCUAGUUGGCGGGGUAAAGGCCCACCAAGGCGACGAUCCGUAGCUGGUCGGAGAGGAGGGUAAGCCACACUGGAACUGAGACACGGUCCAGACUCCUACGGGAGGCAGCAGUGGGGAAUAUUGGACAAUGGGCGCAAGCCUGAUCCAGCCAUACCGCGUGGGUGAAGAAGGCCUUCGGGUUGUAAAGCCCUUUUGUUGGGAAAGAAAAGCAGCAGGUUAAUACCCCGCUGUUCUGACGGUACCCAAAGAAUAAGCACCGGCUAACUUCGUG